Molecule: ribosomal RNA, 583 nt
Filed under: uncultured bacterium
Lineage: Bacteria
Description: partial 16S ribosomal RNA
Rfam family: Bacterial small subunit ribosomal RNA
Source: RNAcentral
UGGGGAAUUUUGGACAAUGGGGGCAACCCUGAUCCAGCCAUCCCGCGUGUGCGAUGAAGGCCUUCGGGUUGUAAAGCACUUUUGGCAGGGAAGAAACAGCCUGGGAUAAUACCCCGGGCGACUGACGGUACCUGCAGAAUAAGCACCGGCUAACUACGUGCCGGCAGCCGCGGUAAUACGUAGGGUGCAAGCGUUAAUCGGAAUUACUGGGCGUAAAGCGUGCGCAGGCGGUUCGGAAAGAAAGGUGUGAAAUCCCAGGGCUUAACCUUGGAACUGCACUUUUAACUACCGAGCUAGAGUACGUCAGAGGGGGGUAGAAUUCCACGUGUAGCAGUGAAAUGCGUAGAGAUGUGGAGGAAUACCGAUGGCGAAGGCAGCCCCCUGGGAUGAUACUGACGCUCAUGCACGAAAGCGUGGGGAGCAAACAGGAUUAGAUACCCUGGUAGUCCACGCCCUAAACGAUGUCAACUAGCUGUUGGGGUUUAUUAACCUUAGUAGCGCAGCUAACGCGUGAAGUUGACCGCCUGAGGGAGUACGGUCGCAAGAUUAAAACUCAAAUGAAUUGACGGGGUCAUAGCUGUUU